This 76-nucleotide transfer RNA is filed under the name bacterium. Its description in RNAcentral is "tRNA-Thr". It matches the Rfam family "tRNA". Rfam says of the family: Transfer RNA (tRNA) molecules are approximately 80 nucleotides in length. The record is from RNAcentral. RNAcentral also lists the same sequence under 3 other names.
GCCGGCGUAGCUCAGUUGGUAGAGCAGCUGAUUCGUAAUCAGCAGGUCGCGGGUUCGAUUCCCAUCGCCGGCUCCA